UACGUAGGGUGCAAGCGUUAAUCGGAGUUACUGGGCGUAAAGCGUGCGCAGGCGGUGAUGUAAGACAGGUGUGAAAUCCCCGGGCUUAACCUGGGAACUGCAUUUGUGACUGCAUCGCUGGAGUGCGGCAGAGGGGGAUGGAAUUCCGCGUGUAGCAGUGAAAUGCGUAGAUAUGCGGAGGAACACCGAUGGCGAAGGCAAUCCCCUGGGCCUGCACUGACGCUCAUGCACGAAAGCGUGGGGAGCAAACAGG
RNAcentral lists this ribosomal RNA (253 nucleotides) under uncultured bacterium. RNAcentral's name for it is "partial 16S ribosomal RNA". It matches the Rfam family "Bacterial small subunit ribosomal RNA", at positions 524 to 776 of the family's 1533-position model. The record is from RNAcentral.